AGGUUGAAAUUUGAGGGCAGGCUGCAACUGAGGAAUAAUUUUUAAAUUCUUUUGGCUGUAUUUUCUUGUUUGGUUUUCGUCAACCAGAUGUUGCAAGUAGAAAUGAUAUUCCACACGCUUUAUUAAUUUGGUCUGCUUAAAUUGUGACCGCAAUUCAACUUUACAUUCCUUUCAACAUUUUUAGUUUAGUUACACAUUUGAUUUCUCCGCCUUUAAUUCUUCAAAUUUUAAUUGAGGGUUUGACAUAAUUGAAGGUUUAACAUCCGACUUAUUCAGAGUUUAGGAC
RNAcentral lists this long non-coding RNA (286 nucleotides) under Olea europaea (common olive). Its description in RNAcentral is "long non-coding RNA (OEUR_LNC011362)". The record is from RNAcentral. Lineage: Eukaryota; Viridiplantae; Streptophyta; Magnoliopsida; Lamiales; Oleaceae.